This 129-nucleotide ribosomal RNA is filed under the name Nannospalax galili (Upper Galilee mountains blind mole rat). The record is from RNAcentral. Lineage: Eukaryota; Metazoa; Chordata; Mammalia; Rodentia; Spalacidae.
GUUUGUGGUUAUACCAUUCUGAACAAACCUGAUCUUCUCUGAUCUUGGAAGGUUAGCAGGGUCAGGCCUGGCUAGUUCUUGGAUGGGAAAAUUUCUGUUCCAUGUCAUAGAAUACUGGAAUUGAAAGGA